UUCUUAUGGAGUGGAUCAUAAGUAACGCCUGCUCAAUGAGAUUAAAUAGCUGCAGGAGACUGUACUAAGGUAGCAAAAUCAUUAGUUUAUUAAUUGUAAACUGGAAUGAAUGGUGAAAUGAAUAGGUUAAAGUAUUUUUAUAAAGAUUUGAAUUUUAAUUUUUAGUCAAAAUGCUAAAUUAAUUUUUAGGGACGAGAAGACCCUAUAAAGCUUUUAGGAUAAUUAUUUUUUUUAAAAAUAAUAGAUCUUUUUUGUUGGGGAAAUAAGGUAAGAAUGGAUUUUACUUUUGAGCCAAAAGUUUUGAUUAUAAGAAAAAGUUACUUUAGGGAUAACAGCAUAAUAAAAGAAAUGGAGUACAAAUUCGUUUUUUUGAUUGUGACCUCGAUGUUGGAUUAAUAAAUUCUUUUGGGAGAAGAAGCUCAAAAAGAUAGUCUGUUCGACUAUUAAAUUUUUACA
This 456-nucleotide ribosomal RNA is filed under the name Neogovea sp. MCZ 53016. RNAcentral's name for it is "partial 16S ribosomal RNA". It matches the Rfam family "Bacterial large subunit ribosomal RNA", at positions 1830 to 2600 of the family's 2925-position model. Lineage: Eukaryota; Metazoa; Arthropoda; Arachnida; Opiliones; Neogoveidae. The record is from RNAcentral.